GCAUCGAUAGCUCAGUGGCAGAGCGGUGGGCCGUUGACGCUUGCGGCCCGGGUUUGAUCCACGGUCGAUGCC
Phthorimaea operculella (potato tuberworm) is the source of this 72-nucleotide non-coding RNA. The record is from the annotation of a GenBank genome assembly. Lineage: Eukaryota; Metazoa; Arthropoda; Insecta; Lepidoptera; Gelechiidae.